GAUGAACGCUGGCGGCGUGCCUAAUACAUGCAAGUCGAGCGAACAGACGAGGAGCUUGCUCCUCUGACGUUAGCGGCGGACGGGUGAGUAACACGUAGAUAACCUACCUAUAAGACUGGGAUAACUUCGGGAAACCGGAGCUAAUACCGGAUAAUAUAUCGAACCGCAUGGUUCAAUAGUGAAAGACGGUUUUGCUAUCACUUAUAGAUGGAUCCGCGCCGUAUUAGCUAGUUGGUAAGGUAACGGCUUACCAAGGCAACGAUGCGUAGCCGACCUGAGAGGGUGAUCGGCCACACUGGAACUGAGACACGGUCCAGACUCCUACGGGAGGCAGCAGUAGGGAAUCUUCCGCAAUGGGCGAAAGCCUGACGGAGCAACGCCGCGUGAGUGAUGAAGGUCUUCGGAUCGUAAAACUCUGUUAUUAGGGAAGAACAAACGUGUAAGUAACUGUGCACGUCUUGACGGUACCUAAUCAGAAAGCCACGGCUAACUACGUG
This 497-nucleotide ribosomal RNA is filed under the name uncultured bacterium. RNAcentral describes it as "partial 16S ribosomal RNA". It matches the Rfam family "Bacterial small subunit ribosomal RNA", at positions 28 to 507 of the family's 1533-position model. The record is from RNAcentral.